Molecule: ribosomal RNA, 1145 nt
Filed under: uncultured cyanobacterium
Lineage: Bacteria; Bacillati; Cyanobacteriota
Description: bacterial SSU rRNA
Rfam family: Bacterial small subunit ribosomal RNA
Source: RNAcentral
CGAAGCCUGACGGAGCAAUACCGCGUGUGGGAAGAAGGCUUUUGGGUUGUAAACCUCUUUUAUCAGGGAAGAAGAAUUGACGGUACCUGAAGAAAAAGCAUCGGCUAACUCCGUGCCAGCAGCCGCGGUAAUACGGAGGAUGCAAGCGUUAUCCGGAAUCAUUGGGCGUAAAGGGUCCGCAGGUGGCGAAUAAAGUCUGCUGUUAAAGACCGGGGCUUAACUCCGGAAAGGCAGUGGAAACUGAUUAGCUAGAGUACGGUAGGGGUAGAGGGAAUUCCCAGUGUAGCGGUGAAAUGCGUAGAUAUUGGGAAGAACACCGGUGGCGAAAGCGCUCUACUAGGCCGAAACUGACACUGAGGGACGAAAGCUAGGGUAGCGAAAGGGAUUAGAUACCCCUGUAGUCUUAGCGGUAAACGAUGGAUACUAGGUGUAGCUUGUAUCGACCCGAGCUGUGCCGAAGCUAACGCGAUAAGUAUCCCGCCUGGGGAGUACGCACGCAAGUGUGAAACUCAAAGGAAUUGACGGGGGCCCGCACAAGCGGUGGAGUAUGUGGUUUAAUUCGAUGCAACGCGAAGAACCUUACCAGGGCUUGACAUGUCGCGAAUCUAGCGGAAACGUUAGAGUGCCUUAGGGAAUGCGAACACAGGUGGUGCAUGGCUGUCGUCAGCUCGUGUCGUGAGAUGUUGGGUUAAGUCCCGCAACGAGCGCAACCCUCGUCCUUAGUUGCCAAUAUUAAGUUAGGCACUCUAGGGAGACUGCCGGGGACAACUCGGAGGAAGGUGGGGAUGACGUCAAGUCAGCAUGCCCCUUACGUCCUGGGCGACACACGUACUACAAUGGUUGGGACAAAGGGCAGCAAGCUCGCGAGAGUAAGCGAAUCUCAUCAAACCCAGCCACAGUUCAGAUUGCAGGCUGCAACUCGCCUGCAUGAAGUAGGAAUCGCUAGUAAUCGCAGGUCAGCAUACUGCGGUGAAUUCGUUCCCGGGCCUUGUACACACCGCCCGUCACACCAUGGAAGCUGGCUACGCCCGAAGUCGUUACCCUAACCCGGUUUUGGGAGGGGGAUGCCGAAGGUAGAGCUAGUGACUGGGGUGAAGUCGUAACAAGGUAGCCGUACCGGAAGGUGUGGCUGGAUCACCUCCUUU